GGACCCGCACAAGUAGUGGAGCAUGUGGUUUAAUUCGAAGAUACGCGCAGAACCUUACCAACACUUGACAUGUUCGUCGCGACUUUAAGAGAUUAAAGUUUUCGGUUCGGCCGGACGAAACACAGGUGCUGCAUGGCUGUCGUCAGCUCGUGUCGUGAGAUGUUGGUUAAGUCCCGCAACGAGCGCAACCCUCACUUUUAGUUGCCAUCAUUUAGUUGGGCACUCUGAAAGAACUGCCAGUGAUAAGCUGGAGGAAGGUGGGGAUGACGUCAAGUCCUCAUGGCCCUUACGUGUUGGGCUACACACGUGCUACAAUGGUAGAUACAGAGGGCAGCUAUCCCGCGAGGGAAUGCA
This 354-nucleotide ribosomal RNA is filed under the name uncultured bacterium. RNAcentral describes it as "bacterial SSU rRNA". It matches the Rfam family "Bacterial small subunit ribosomal RNA", at positions 917 to 1269 of the family's 1533-position model. The record is from RNAcentral.